RNAcentral lists this ribosomal RNA (207 nucleotides) under uncultured bacterium. RNAcentral's name for it is "partial 16S ribosomal RNA". It matches the Rfam family "Bacterial small subunit ribosomal RNA", at positions 568 to 774 of the family's 1533-position model. The record is from RNAcentral.
CGCGCAGGCGGGCUAAUAAGUUGGAUGUGAAAGCCUACGGCUCAACCGUAGAACUGCAUCCAAAACUGUUAGUCUAGAGUGUGGGAGAGGAAGAUGGAAUUAGUUGUGUAGGGGUAAAAUCCGUAGAGAUAACUAGGAAUACCAAAAGCGAAGGCAAUCUUCUGGAACAUUACUGACGCUGAGGCGGGAAAGCGUGGGGAGCAAACA